Molecule: long non-coding RNA, 915 nt
Organism: Xiphophorus hellerii (green swordtail)
Lineage: Eukaryota; Metazoa; Chordata; Actinopteri; Cyprinodontiformes; Poeciliidae
Exons: 2
Source: RefSeq, a predicted model, not a curated record
GAGACAUGUACAGUGAAUUACUUUCUUUGUUACUUAAAUUUAAAGACAUUAAAUGAAGCUGUUCAUUUCAGUUUGCAGAAAAAUCCUAUCAAAAGAGGUUGUGGAUUUUCCUGUUUCCAGAGAGGCGGACUACACCAUGAGACUUAUCCUUAACAUUAAUAUUCUUAUUUUCAGUGUUUAUGACAAUUGUUAUCAUGAUUACUAUUAUUUGUAUGUUUGGCUAAAACAUCUGUACUUAGCCAAACUUAAUACAUUAACAUGGACUCUGAAAACAUUUAUUUAAGGAAAUUGUUUGUCUACAAAUUAAUAAGUACAAUCAUUUCAUUUUCUAUAUUUUUUUCAUAAAUGACUGUGUUGGUGCUUAGCACAUCCUGUGCAACAGUUUCAUACACACCCACAUAUAUACGGUCACGAUUGUACAUGUAUAAUCGUGUGUGUGUGUGUUUUUAUACUUUUGUUGUUAACAGAGGACCUAAAAGACUUGUGUCACUUCUGUGGAGAGAUGGAAAGUGACACGGAUGUGAACUGGGUAGGAAAGUUUUUAAAAUUAUUCAAAGACUUAGUGUUAGUAAACUAAAUGAAGAGGACAAGUUUUAUCUAAUCUUAUCUUGCGUAAACAAGCUAUGAUAUGAUCCUCCAGCAGUUGGAAUAUAAGGGAAUCUAAAAUGAUUGAUUGUAUAUUGUAAUUGUAAAGACAUAUUUUUCUAAAAAAAACCUGAUAUUUUUGGUUUCUUUCCUAGAUCCAGUGUGACGCGUCUGAGGUGGUCCCAUCAUGCAUGUGUGGGAAGCCCAACAACUGGAACAACUUAUCACUGCUUUGCCUGUUUGCCUUAUUUGCCUUUGUUCCUGAGUUUGCUGUGGUGUGCUUGUUUAUGUAUGUUGUUUAAUGGUUAAUAAAUUACAUUUUGAAAACUG